UAACGUAGACGUAAAGUUACGCUAAUACCGCAUAUUCUGUGAGCAGGAAAGCAGGGGAUCGCAAGACCUUGCGCUGAUUGAGCGGCCGAUAUCAGAUUAGCUAGUUGGUGAGGUAAAGGCUCACCAAGGCGACGAUCUGUAGCGGGUCUGAGAGGAUGAUCCGCCACACUGGAACUGAGACACGGUCCAGACUCCUACGGGAGGCAGCAGUGGGGAAUUUUGGACAAUGGGCGCAAGCCUGAUCCAGCCAUGCCGCGUGAGUGAAGAAGGCCUUCGGGUUGUAAAGCUCUUUCGGCCGGGAAGAAAUCGCACAGGUUAAUACCCUGUGUGGAUGACGGUACCGGAAUAAGAAGCACCGGCUAACUACGUG
This 370-nucleotide ribosomal RNA is filed under the name uncultured bacterium. RNAcentral describes it as "bacterial SSU rRNA". It matches the Rfam family "Bacterial small subunit ribosomal RNA", at positions 144 to 507 of the family's 1533-position model. The record is from RNAcentral.